Molecule: ribosomal RNA, 500 nt
Filed under: uncultured bacterium
Lineage: Bacteria
Description: bacterial SSU rRNA
Rfam family: Bacterial small subunit ribosomal RNA
Source: RNAcentral
GUUUCCCUUCGGGGCUGGUGCAUCAGGUGCUGCACGGCUGUCGUCAGCUCGUGUCGUGAGAUGUUGGGUUAAGUCCUCUAACGAGCGCAACCCCUAUCCACAGUUGCCAUCAGGUAAUGCUGGGCACUCUGCGGAGACUGCCGGUGACAAACCGGAGGAAGGUGAGGAUGACGUCAAGUCAUCGUGGCCCUUACGUCCCGGGCUGCAAACGUGCUACAAUGGCUGGUACAAAGGGCGGCAAUACCGCGAGGUGGAGCAAAUCCCAAAAAACCAGUCUCAGUUCGGAUUGCAGUCUGCAACUCGACUGCAUGAAGCUGGAAUCGCUAGUAAUCGCGGAUCAGCACGCCGCGGUGAAUACGUUCCCGGGUCUUGUACACACCGCCCGUCAAGUGAUGAAAGCUGGGGGUACCCGACGUCGUUUGCCCAACCGCAUGGAGGGCGGCGCCUAAGGUAAAACUGUAAUUGGCACUAAGUCGUAACAAGGUAGCCGUACUGGAAAG